Molecule: ribosomal RNA, 430 nt
Filed under: uncultured bacterium
Lineage: Bacteria
Description: bacterial SSU rRNA
Rfam family: Bacterial small subunit ribosomal RNA
Source: RNAcentral
GUGGGGAAUAUUGCACAAUGGGCGAAAGCCUGAUGCAGCGACGCCGCGUGAGGGAUGGAGGCCUUCGGGUUGUAAACCUCUUUCAGCAGGGAAGAAGCGCAAGUGACGGUACCUGCAGAAGAAGCGCCGGCUAACUACGUGCCAGCAGCCGCGGUAAUACGUAGGGCGCAAGCGUUGUCCGGAAUUAUUGGGCGUAAAGAGCUCGUAGGUGGUCUGUCGCGUCUGGUGUGAAAUCCCGAGGCUCAACCUCGGGCUUGCAUCGGGUACGGGCAGACUAGAGUGCGGUAGGGGAGACUGGAAUUCCUGGUGUAGCGGUGGAAUGCGCAGAUAUCAGGAGGAACACCGAUGGCGAAGGCAGGUCUCUGGGCCGCAACUGACGCUGAGGAGCGAAAGCAUGGGGAGCGAACAGGAUUAGAAACCCGAGUAGUCC